AGAUUAAGUUAUUAAGGGCGCACGGUGGAUGCCUUGGCACUAGAAGCCGAUGAAGGACGUUACUAACGACGAUAUGCUUUGGGGAGCUGUAAGUAAGCUUUGAUCCAGAGAUUUCCGAAUGGGGAAACCCAGCAUGAGUUAUGUCAUGUUAUCGAUAUGUGAAUACAUAGCAUAUCAGAAGGCACACCCGGAGAACUGAAACAUCUUAGUACCCGGAGGAAGAGAAAGAAAAUUCGAUUCCCUUAGUAGCGGCGAGCGAAACGGGAAGAGCCCAAACCAACAAGCUUGCUUGUUGGGGUUGUAGGACACUCUAUACGGAGUUACAAAGGACGACAUUAGACGAAUCAUCUGGAAAGAUGAAUCAAAGAAGGUAAUAAUCCUGUAGUCGAAAAUGUUGUCUCUCUUGAGUGGAUCCUGAGUACGACGGAGCACGUGAAAUUCCGUCGGAAUCUGGGAGGACCAUCUCCUAAGGCUAAAUACUCUCUAGUGACCGAUAGUGAACCAGUACCGUGAGGGAAAGGUGAAAAGCACCCCGGAAGGGGAGUGAAAUAGAACCUGAAACCGUGUGCUUACAAGUAGUCAGAGCCCGUUAAUGGGUGAUGGCGUGCCUUUUGUAGAAUGAACCGGCGAGUUACGAUUUGAUGCAAGGUUAAGCAGUAAAUGUGGAGCCGUAGCGAAAGCGAGUCUGAAUAGGGCGUUUAGUAUUUGGUCGUAGACCCGAAACCAGGUGAUCUACCCUUGGUCAGGUUGAAGUUCAGGUAACACUGAAUGGAGGACCGAACCGACUUACGUUGAAAAGUGAGCGGAUGAACUGAGGGUAGCGGAGAAAUUCCAAUCGAACCUGGAGAUAGCUGGUUCUCUCCGAAAUAGCUUUAGGGCUAGCCUCAAGUGAUGAUUAUUGGAGGUAGAGCACUGUUUGGACGAGGGGCCCCUCUCGGGUUACCGAAUUCAGACAAACUCCGAAUGCCAAUUAAUUUAACUUGGGAGUCAGAACAUGGGUGAUAAGGUCCGUGUUCGAAAGGGAAACAGCCCAGACCACCAGCUAAGGUCCCAAAAUAUAUGUUAAGUGGAAAAGGAUGUGGCGUUGCCCAGACAACUAGGAUGUUGGCUUAGAAGCAGCCAUCAUUUAAAGAGUGCGUAAUAGCUCACUAGUCGAGUGACACUGCGCCGAAAAUGUACCGGGGCUAAACAUAUUACCGAAGCUGUGGAUUGUCCUUUGGACAAUGGUAGGAGAGCGUUCUAAGGGCGUUGAAGCAUGAUCGUAAGGACAUGUGGAGCGCUUAGAAGUGAGAAUGCCGGUGUGAGUAGCGAAAGACGGGUGAGAAUCCCGUCCACCGAUUGACUAAGGUUUCCAGAGGAAGGCUCGUCCGCUCUGGGUUAGUCGGGUCCUAAGCUGAGGCCGACAGGCGUAGGCGAUGGAUAACAGGUUGAUAUUCCUGUACCACCUAUAAUCGUUUUAAUCGAUGGGGGGACGCAGUAGGAUAGGCGAAGCGUGCGAUUGGAUUGCACGUCUAAGCAGUAAGGCUGAGUAUUAGGCAAAUCCGGUACUCGUUAAGGCUGAGCUGUGAUGGGGAGAAGACAUUGUGUCUUCGAGUCGUUGAUUUCACACUGCCGAGAAAAGCCUCUAGAUAGAAAAUAGGUGCCCGUACCGCAAACCGACACAGGUAGUCAAGAUGAGAAUUCUAAGGUGAGCGAGCGAACUCUCGUUAAGGAACUCGGCAAAAUGACCCCGUAACUUCGGGAGAAGGGGUGCUCUUUAGGGUUAACGCCCAGAAGAGCCGCAGUGAAUAGGCCCAAGCGACUGUUUAUCAAAAACACAGGUCUCUGCUAAACCGUAAGGUGAUGUAUAGGGGCUGACGCCUGCCCGGUGCUGGAAGGUUAAGAGGAGUGGUUAGCUUCUGCGAAGCUACGAAUCGAAGCCCCAGUAAACGGCGGCCGUAACUAUAACGGUCCUAAGGUAGCGAAAUUCCUUGUCGGGUAAGUUCCGACCCGCACGAAAGGCGUAACGAUUUGGGCACUGUCUCAACGAGAGACUCGGUGAAAUCAUAGUACCUGUGAAGAUGCAGGUUACCCGCGACAGGACGGAAAGACCCCGUGGAGCUUUACUGUAGCCUGAUAUUGAAAUUCGGCACAGCUUGUACAGGAUAGGUAGGAGCCUUUGAAACGUGAGCGCUAGCUUACGUGGAGGCGCUGGUGGGAUACUACCCUAGCUGUGUUGGCUUUCUAACCCGCACCACUUAUCGUGGUGGGAGACAGUGUCAGGCGGGCAGUUUGACUGGGGCGGUCGCCUCCUAAAAGGUAACGGAGGCGCUCAAAGGUUCCCUCAGAAUGGUUGGAAAUCAUUCAUAGAGUGUAAAGGCAUAAGGGAGCUUGACUGCGAGACCUAC
RNAcentral lists this ribosomal RNA (2387 nucleotides) under Staphylococcus aureus. RNAcentral's name for it is "bacterial LSU rRNA". It matches the Rfam family "Bacterial large subunit ribosomal RNA", at positions 1 to 2385 of the family's 2925-position model. The record is from RNAcentral. Lineage: Bacteria; Bacillati; Bacillota; Bacilli; Caryophanales; Staphylococcaceae.